Long non-coding RNA from Hibiscus syriacus, 702 nucleotides. RefSeq lists it as uncharacterized. The record is from RefSeq and is a predicted model, not a curated record. Lineage: Eukaryota; Viridiplantae; Streptophyta; Magnoliopsida; Malvales; Malvaceae. The transcript has 4 exons.
UAUUUAUUCUUCUAACCGUCCAAGAUGAAUGACGCAACCUCUUUAUUGUUUUUCUUUGGUUUAGGGGUACAUUCAUAGAAUUCCGAAGUGGGAUGCUCAAUGUAUCUCCAAUCGGACGAAACUGCAGCCAAGAAGAAAGGGAUGAAUUCGAGAAGUAUGACAAGGUUCAGAAUAUUCGCCCGGAAAUGGUUUCUGUGCUUCGAGAAAAGUUUGCUCACCUGAAUUUAACGUUCUCCAUCGGAGGGAAAAUAAGCUUUGAUGUGAGUAAUGCACAUGGUUCGUGAUUAAACGUUUUAAAUUACCAAGAAUGAUGAAAGGAGUCGUCGAUUAUUUAUUGCUUCAUUUUGCUUGUAAUAGGUUUUCCCCCGGGGCUGGGACAAAACAUACCGCUUGAGAUAUCUUGAAGAUUUUCCAGAAAUCCACUUCUUUGGGGACAAAACAUACAAGGGAGGGAAUGAUCAUGAAAUUUAUGAAUCGAACAGAACAGUGGGACACACAGUUACAAGUCCUGAUGACACAGUGCAGCAGUGCAAAGCACUCUCCCUAAGCAACCCUUGAACGACACCAUUUUUCAUCUUGAUGUUAUCUAUUUGUGUCACGUAUUUUAAUAGAGGAAUAAGUGCCAAGCCGGAGCUUGCUCAAGUACGUAGUUUUUAUAUAUAGUUCUCGUCAAAUUGGUUAAAAUUUGCUUAUUCAGAACUU